UAAGAGGUCCCGCCUGCCCUGUGACUUUAAGUUUAACGGCCGCGGUAUUUUAACCGUGCGAAGGUAGCGUAAUCACUUGUCUUUUAAAUGAAGACCUGUAUGAAUGGCAUCACGAGGGCUUAGCUGUCUCCCCUCCCCAGUCAAUGAAAUUGACCUCCCCGUGCAGAGGCGGGGAUAUUUACAUAAGACGAGAAGACCCUGUGGAGCUUUAGACCUAAAGUAAGCCAUGUUUAGUAUCCUGAGAUAUCAGUAAAAACUUAAUGGCAAUUAUUGAAGUGUCUUUGGUUGGGGCGACCGCGGGGUAAAACACAACCCCCAUGUGGACCGGGGAUAUUAUCCCUAAUACUCAGAGCCGCUACUCCAAGUAACAGAAAUUCUGACUUUAUGAUCCGGUAUAACCGAUCAACGAACCGAGUUACCCCAGGGAUAACAGCGCAAUCCCCUCUCAGAGCCCAUAUCGACGAGGGGGUUU
This 472-nucleotide ribosomal RNA is filed under the name Raniceps raninus (tadpole fish). Its description in RNAcentral is "partial 16S ribosomal RNA". It matches the Rfam family "Bacterial large subunit ribosomal RNA", at positions 1846 to 2519 of the family's 2925-position model. Lineage: Eukaryota; Metazoa; Chordata; Actinopteri; Gadiformes; Gadidae. The record is from RNAcentral.